UGGCGGAGGGUGAGUAGUGUCUGGGAACUGCCCGAGUGGGAGGGGAAUAACUACGGGAAACGGUAGCUAAUACCGCAUAACGUCUGCGGACCAAAGCGGGGGACCUCCGGGCCUCGCGCCAUCAGAUGAACCCAUAUGGGAUUAGCUUGUAGGUAAGGUAACGGCUUACCUAGGCGACGAUCCCUAGCUGGUCUGAGAGGAUGAUCAGCCACACUGGGACUGAGACACGGCCCAG
Molecule: ribosomal RNA, 235 nt
Filed under: uncultured bacterium
Lineage: Bacteria
Description: partial 16S ribosomal RNA
Rfam family: Bacterial small subunit ribosomal RNA
Source: RNAcentral